CCUACGGGUGGCAGCAGUGGGGAAUAUUGCACAAUGGGGGAAACCCUGAUGCAGCGACGCCGCGUGAGGGAAGAAGUAAUUCGUUACGUAAAGCUCUAUCAGCAGGGGAGAAAUACUGACCUUACGGUCAGCAGACGGUACCUGAGUAAGAAGCCCCGGCUAACUACGUGCCAGCAGCCGCGGUAAUACGUAGGGGGCAAGCGUUAUCCGGAUUUACUGGGUGUAAAGGGAGCGUAGACGGUGCGCCAAGUCUGGAGUGAAAUGCCGCGGCUUAACUGCGGAACUGCUUUGGAAACUGGCGAACUAGAGUGCGGGAGGGGUAAGCGGAAUUCCUAGUGUAGCGGUGAAAUGCGUAGAUAUUAGGAGGAACCCCGGUGGCGAAGGCGGCUUACUGGACCGUAACUGACGUUGAGGCUCGAAAGCGUGGGGAGCAAACAGGAUUAGAUACCCUGGUAGUC
RNAcentral lists this ribosomal RNA (458 nucleotides) under uncultured bacterium. RNAcentral describes it as "partial 16S ribosomal RNA". It matches the Rfam family "Bacterial small subunit ribosomal RNA", at positions 338 to 795 of the family's 1533-position model. The record is from RNAcentral.